GGACAGAUAGCUCAGUUGGUAGAGCACUAGAUUGAAGCUCUAGGUGUCGGCAGUUCGAAUCUGUCUCUGUCCACCA
Molecule: transfer RNA, 76 nt
Filed under: Priestia megaterium
Lineage: Bacteria; Bacillati; Bacillota; Bacilli; Caryophanales; Bacillaceae
Description: Bacillus megaterium tRNA-Phe
Rfam family: tRNA
About the family: Transfer RNA (tRNA) molecules are approximately 80 nucleotides in length. Their secondary structure includes four short double-helical elements and three loops (D, anti-codon, and T loops).
Source: RNAcentral